CAGGCAGAUAUCUGAUCGAAGAACAUUCCAGGCAGGGGAGCAAAGGCUAGGGCCGUCAGGAGGCCAGUGUGGCCGGGGAAGAGGUGGAGGAGGAGGGGCCAGGGCAGUCGUUAGGCCGCCCCCUAAGGACUCAUGCUUUGACUUGGAUUGACAUAGAGAGCUGCAGGAGGGUGACAUGAUCUCAAUAAAAGGAAUGCUCUGGCUGCUGGGUAGAGAAGAAAGCGAGGGUGAGGGAUUAAUGGUGGAGCCAGAGGGAGCCCAGUGAGUGCCGGGAGCCCAGGGUGGCAGAGCUGUGGUGCAGGGUUGCAGGGUCCUGGAGCUAGGCAUGGAGGCUGCUUUCGGGCAAGUGGCCGGGUCAGCCUGUCCUCGGAGAGGCGGUGAAGGCAGAGACUGGAAGGCAGAGAGCCUUGCCGACCUGUGGCCGAAGAGCUCUCCGGGAGACAGCCACCGGUGGUGCAAAGGCCCUGGGGCCGGCCCAGCCGGGCCGCAGCUCCGGGAGGCGGCGCGAGCGAGCAGUGGGCUGGGCGGUGGCGGCCGGCACCCGAGCCGGAUCCCGGCGAUUGCCUUACAAGACAUGCUGCUGCUGAAGAAACACACGGAGGACAUCAGCAGCGUCUACGAGAUCCGCGAGAGGCUCGGCUCGUGAGUGUGCGCGCGCGUGUGUGAUCGUGUGUGUGUGUGUGUGUGUGUGUGUGUACCUGUGU
Molecule: long non-coding RNA, 704 nt
Filed under: Homo sapiens (human)
Lineage: Eukaryota; Metazoa; Chordata; Mammalia; Primates; Hominidae
Description: non-protein coding lnc-BCAP31-3:1
Source: RNAcentral